Gallus gallus (chicken) is the source of this 1304-nucleotide long non-coding RNA. NCBI's taxonomy places the organism in Eukaryota, Metazoa, Chordata, Aves, Galliformes, Phasianidae. The record is from Ensembl.
AUUAGCAACAGAAACUCUGAAUGUGGUGAGGGCACCAGAUAAGAUGCUGGUGUUUCUUAGAAGCCCGUGAGAUUUAAAAGAAAGGAAAAGAAAAGAAAUCUACAUGAUUUAUUUUUCUACUUUUUCAAAUUAAGCUUCUUAUCAAACUGUGUGAUAUCAAUCAGGUUUUUGUGGCUGUGCAAGCAGCACAAUUUAGUUGUGGUCUCCAUGACCCCAGUUUGACGCCAGUGAAAGUAGAUUACUCUACUUUGGAAGCCUAACACUGAUCUUGAAGAUGAGGGUAAUGGAGACACAGGCGUUAAAGCUACCUGGAGGAGCACAACAGAUCGCAGAACUCACAGAUUCUGCACUCUGCAGAAGCAGUUUCUGGAAAAACUCACUGUCCAUCCCUCUCUUGAUCUUCUUCUGGUGCUGCCAGAAAACCUGGGAGAGAUCAACUCUGCAGGAAACUUCUGGUGCUAGGAGAGAAUUCAUUAACCAAACUCUGGGACAAAGCAAAGGAUGCAAUUGGCUCUAAUACUGGUGUUCUAGCCUUGGAAAAUGAGCGGUCCUCCGUCAUAAUGACAGGUGAUGAGAAAGAAGGUGCUUAUGUAUUCUGCAGACAUUUGCAAACCUACCUUGGAAUCCUGCUGGUCUCACAGCAUACAAAACUAUUUGUUGGUAGUUCCACUGACUCAAUGGGUCUACUUGUGUGAGCAAAGUUACCGAGGCUGCCUUUUCAGUUGUGUUAACACUUAAAUUCAGAUACUAAUCAAUAGUUACAAAAGAUCUCAAGAAGAGAGAGAGAGAGAGAGAGAGAGAGAGAGUCUGGUUCUACUCCCAUGGAUGAAAACUGGUGACUUUCAAGGACUAAGCUGAAGCGGGUUUGACUAAAGGCUCUCUGUCCAGGCUGUCCCUUUGAAACAUGAAAGCCUGCCUGGAGUUGCCACUGUAGAGCAGAGAGUGACAGUCAAUGGAUGGGGACCUGGACAUGAUUACAUCCACUCUACUGCCCGGCCAUACACUGAUGGAAUGAUCAUUUGGAAAAUGGCUACUGCCCACAUUUACAUUCCUUUCAGCGUUGUUCCAUAGCCAAUUAGAGUGGUAGCCCAGCCUAUAUUCAUGCCAGUCUUGUACUAUAUUGUAAGAAAGAGGAAAGGAGCAGCUCAGAAGUCUUUAAUUAUUCCUCCAGCCAUUUAUUGACCUGCUCUCUAAAGGCCAUAUACGGGCCUUCAUCUGCAUGCAAAAUUCCUAUUGACAUCACUGGGAGGGCCACAGGCAGAUGGAAGGUACUUUGUAAACCUCACAUUUUAAAGAUGUUGUAA